AAAAAAAUAGAAAGAGCUCUCAGUCUGUCAAUCCUUACUAUGUCUGGACCUGGUAAGUUACCCCAUGUUGAGUCAAAUUAAGCCGCAGCUCCUCUCCUGGUGCUGCCCUCCUGUCAAUUCCUUUAAGUUUCAGCCUUGCGACCAUACUCCCUCCGGAACCCAAAAACUUUGAUUUCUCAUAAGGUGCCGACGGAGUCCUAUAAGCAACAUCCGUUGAUCCCUGGUCGGCAUCGUUUAUGGUUGAGACUAGGAUGGUAUCUAAUCGUCUUCAAGCCCUCAGCUUUCAUUCUUGAUUAAUGAAAACAUCCUUGGCAAAUGCUUUCGCAGUUGUUCAUCUUUCAUAAAUCCAAGAAUUUUACCUCUGACUAUGAAAUACGAAUGCCCCUGACUAUCUCUGUUAAUCAUUACUCAGAUCCCGAAGGCCAACUAAUAGGAUCGAAAUCCUAUAAUGUUAUCCCAUGCUAAUGUAUCCAAAGCGUAAGCUUGCUUUGAGCACUCUAAUUUCUUCAAAGUAACAGCACCGGAGGUACGACCCGACCAGUUAAGGCCAGGAGCAUAUUGCCGGUAGAAGGGAUGAGACGACCGGUGCACACCGUAAGCAAACCUUUCGACCCAACCCAAGGUCCAACUACGAGCUUUUUAACUGCAAUAACUUAAAUAUACGCUAUUGGAGUUGCAAUUACCGUGGCUACUGGCACCAAACUUACCCUCCAAUGGAUCCUCGUUAAGGGAUUUAGAUUGUACUCAUUCCAAUUACCAGACUCUGUGAGGUCGGUAUUGUUAUUUAUAGUCACUACCUCCCCGUGUCAGGAUUGGGUAAUUUGCGUGCCUGUUGCCUUCCUUAGAUGUGGUAGCCGUUUCUCAGGCUCAC
RNAcentral lists this long non-coding RNA (871 nucleotides) under Olea europaea subsp. europaea. The record is from RNAcentral. Lineage: Eukaryota; Viridiplantae; Streptophyta; Magnoliopsida; Lamiales; Oleaceae.